This 2774-nucleotide transfer RNA is filed under the name Homo sapiens (human). RNAcentral's name for it is "HSALNT0259721". The stretch from base 225 to 317 matches the Rfam family "tRNA". The record is from RNAcentral. Lineage: Eukaryota; Metazoa; Chordata; Mammalia; Primates; Hominidae.
GGAGCCUCGACUCUGGAGUCUCAGAUGGCGGCGCUGGGGACCCACAUUCCUAAGUCUUCUAGCAAGGGCCGCGAGGCGUGAGAAUCCGGAACUGGCAAUGCACUGUCUCCUAUUGGUCAAUGCAAAAUGUUUAAUUUGCAUAUAUAACACAAGGCGGGGCCCUCCGGUGAGGUCACGUGGCUAUGAACCACUGAAGAAGACCCCGGCGCAGGGGUGCGGCCGGAGCUCCAGUGGCGCAAUCGGUUAGCGCGCGGUACUUAUAUGACAGUGCGAGCGGAGCAAUGCCGAGGUUGUGAGUUCGAUCCUCACCUGGAGCACUUUUUUUCCCCAUCAGUUUUUAUAAACUUACACAUCUAAUAAACCAACCAAAACAUCUACAUCACUUAGAUGAAUGAACGUUUCUAUCUUUUGAAUUAUUGGGCUCAAAAGACUCCUAGGGCUUUGGCGACGGUCCUUUGGGUGUUCUGUAUUGUAGGGAGGUGCCGUUUCCGUCCCAGCCACCAGGUGGGGGUAUCGUCUCUUAUUAGAUGCUCUGGGCAUGGAAUUGUGUGCAAACAGUUUGACUUCUGUAGAGAUGUGGGUCCUCGGCAAACUGUAUAUGACUCUGCCUCCUCUGUAUUUCUCUGUCUUUUUAAUGCCUCCUUUACAGAUGAACAUAGCUAUCUGUCUUGGAGUUUUCGACCUCUGUUGAAAAGGAAAACUAUGUUUUUGAGUCGACUUGUUUUUUCAAUAAAUAUUGAACAUUCACUAUGCCUGGCUUCCUUUAGCUGUGUGUAAUACAGCAGUGAACAAGUAGUCCCUGCCCCUGAGGACGCGACAUUCUAGUGGGGAGGCAGAUUGCUGUCAACAUAAGAAUUAAGUACAUUUUAAUGUUAGGUGGUGAUGAUAAAUGUCAUGGAAAAAGUCGAGCAAGGUGGAUCAGACAGGAUUGCUGUUGGACUGGGGUGUGGAUUUGAGAACAAGGUGUCAAGGGAUACUCCUGGGUGUCUGGCUUAAGCCCUGGUAGAUGGUGAGAAGUGCCGUUUUCUUAUAUGAGGGAUUUUUUGGGGAAGGGGCAGAGAAUCAGAUCUGGCUAAAGGAAGGACCAGAGAUGUUGUUCUUUCAGUCUCCAAGACUGUUUCUGCAAAUGUCUCUUCACUGCUUGCUCUUGGUCUCUGCCCCUCUGCUGCCUUUGCAUCUCAGGGGUUCUGACUCCCUCUCGCCUGAUCCUCUUCUACUUAUUAGGGCCUGAGCCCUUUCCCACAAGGGAAGCAGUUUCCUGGAAGAGGAGACCAAAUGUCAGUGAGCAAGGGGAGUGGGCCAAGGAGGCCUGAGAGCAGGAGGGAGGCUUGAGGAGGGUAGAGAGAAGGGAGAGGAGGGAAAGGGGCUUCAGAGGGAGAGAGAAGAGGAGAAGGAGUAAGGCUAGGGGGAGGAGGGGAAGAGGACAAUGGGGAGUGGGAGGGCAAGGAAAGGGUGGAGAGGGAAAGAAGGACGGAAAAAGGGAGAGAAGGGAGACGGGAAGGAGGAGAAAGGGGGUAAGAGACGGCAGGAUGGGGAGGCUGGAAGUGGGAGAGGAGUAAUGAGGGAGGGGACAAAUUGGAGGGGGAGAGAAGAACAGAAGGCAAAGGGUGUAGGGCGGGGCAGAAGGGUGCAGAGGAGGAAGUGAAAAAGAGGAGGAAGGGUGAGGGUAGGGAAAGGAGAGAAGAGGGAAGUGAGAGGGAGGAGGGAGGAGUGCGGGGCAAGGAGAAAAAAGAGGGGUCGCAGGGGGCGAAGGCUGGGCGGCAGGGCCGAGCCGCAGGCGCUGACGCAGGGCGGCUUCCGGGCGCGGGGCCCCGGGGUUGGUCCCGACGACGCUGGCCUUGUAUGGUCUGAAGACGCGGCUCCCCCGGGGCCCCUCCUAGACGCGCGGCCCCUACCCACACGCCCUGGCCUCGCGGGGCCGACCCUGGUCGGUGUGCGAAGCCUCGGACUUCCAAGGUUCGGAAAUGCCAAGACCCGGUAAUUCCCGGGCUCCAGGGUCCCGGGUGGCCAGAAAUCUGCAACUCCGAGCCACCAGGGGUCUAGAGUCUAAAGCGCUAGGGGAUGCAACCUGUGACUCCCAAAUGUUGAGAUCCUAGCCUCUUGAGACCCUAAACCCGCUUCCCCAACAUCCAGAAGGUGUCGAAGCCCCCCCGGAACCUCUAGUCCCGAAACGGGUUCCGCUACCCCAGGCUGCCCCGCCCCGCGCCCGCCCCCGCUCGCUCUGGGCGCGCGCCCCAGCACAUUCCGUCCUCCCCACCCGGCCCCUCCCGCCUCCCGCGGCCCCGUGGGGACGGAAACAUCCCGUCCCCGACCGCACCCGCCCGAAGCUGGGUCAAGGAGCCCAGCAGGACGGGAGCGCGGCGCCCCCGACGCCCGGGAACUGGCUCCCCCGGUUCCCAUCUGGUGACCUCACCUGGUCCCACCCUUUCAGGUGAACGGCCAGGCCCGGUGACGUCACUUCCUGCCAGGUAAGCGCCGCGGGGCUCGGAGAGGAAGAGUUAACUGCACCCAGCUUCCAAAAAGUCACCCCCUCCCUCUCCAUUCCUGUCUCUAGACCGCGAAGAAGCCAGGAUCCCAGCUUACACUCAGAUUGUUUAUUUAAAAAUGCCCAAAACACAAAAAUAGACUUUUAAGGUAAUAAUAUAUAUUACUAAAUAUAUUAUAGUCUACUUAUAAUAAUUAUAUCGUCGUUUUCAAUAUUACAAAAAAAGGAAGAAAAAUACAAGGGAAGCAGACGACCCAAUAUAUAUAAAUACUAUAAAAUCAUAUUAGAA